RNAcentral lists this ribosomal RNA (385 nucleotides) under uncultured bacterium. RNAcentral describes it as "bacterial SSU rRNA". It matches the Rfam family "Bacterial small subunit ribosomal RNA", at positions 28 to 412 of the family's 1533-position model. The record is from RNAcentral.
GACGAACGCUGGCGGCGUGCUUAACACAUGCAAGUCGAGCGGUAAGGCCCUUUCGGGGGUACACGAGCGGCGAACGGGUGAGUAACACGUGGGUGACCUGCCCUUAGCUCUGGGAUAAGCCUGGGAAACUGGGUCUAAUACCGGAUAUGACUCCAUGACGCAUGUUGUGGGGUGGAAAGCCUUGUGCGGCUAGGGAUGGGCCCGCGGCCUAUCAGCUUGUUGGUGGGGUGAUGGCCUACCAAGGCGACGACGGGUAGCCGGCCUGAGAGGGCGACCGGCCACACUGGGACUGAGACACGGCCCAGACUCCGUACGGGAGGCAGCAGGUGGGGAAUCUUGCGCAAUGGGACGAAAGCCUGACGCAGCGACGCCGCGUGAGGAUGAC